UACGAAGGGGGCUAGCGUUGUUCGGAUUUACUGGGCGUAAAGCGCACGUAGGCGGAUCUUUAAGUCAGGGGUGAAAUCCUGGAGCUCAACUCCAGAACUGCCUUUGAUACUGGAGAGCUUGAGUCCGGAAGAGGUGAGUGGAACUCCGAGUGUAGAGGUGAAAUUCGUAGAUAUUCGGAAGAACACCAGUGGCGAAGGCGGCUCACUGGUCCGGUACUGACGCUGAUGUGCGAAAGCGUGGGGAGCAAACAGG
Molecule: ribosomal RNA, 253 nt
Filed under: uncultured bacterium
Lineage: Bacteria
Description: partial 16S ribosomal RNA
Rfam family: Bacterial small subunit ribosomal RNA
Source: RNAcentral